This 286-nucleotide unclassified non-coding RNA is filed under the name Paraconiothyrium sp. RNAcentral's name for it is "partial contains 5.8S ribosomal RNA, internal transcribed spacer 2, and large subunit ribosomal RNA". The stretch from base 1 to 71 matches the Rfam family "5.8S ribosomal RNA", at positions 84 to 154 of the family's 154-position model. Lineage: Eukaryota; Fungi; Ascomycota; Dothideomycetes; Pleosporales; Didymosphaeriaceae. The record is from RNAcentral.
GUGAGUCAUCGAAUCUUUGAACGCACAUUGCGCCCCUUGGUAUUCCAUGGGGCAUGCCUGUUCGAGCGUCAUCUACACCCUCAAGCUCUGCUUGGUGUUGGGCGUCUGUCCCGCCUCUGUGCGUGGACUCGCCCCAAAUUCAUUGGCAGCGGUCCUUGCCUCCUCUCGCGCAGCACAUUGCGUUUCUUGAGGUGCGCGGCCCGCGUCCACGAAGCAACAUUACCGUCUUUGACCUCGGAUCAGGUAGGGAUACCCGCUGAACUUAAGCAUAUCAAUAAGCGGAGGA